UCUAAAUGGAAGAGGGUGCUGGGGAGUUAGGGAACUGGGCCUUGUGCUGCUGGCCCUGGAGGUGGAGGAAGUGGACAGGAGCCCGGGAGUGCAGGUGACUGCGGGGCGUGGGACGCCCAGAGCAGGCCCCCAGGCUCCGAGGGACACUGUGCUUCGAGCUCCGUGAGACUGGUUUCAGACCUCUGACUGCCCCAAUUACAGGUCUCACGAAGUCACUGGGUUGCCCAGGCAGGGCAAGAACUUGUGCUCCUCCUGCCUCAGCCUCCCAGAGAGCUGAGGUAACAGUGCACCCCACGCCCCGCAGAAGUCCCUGUUUAAGCCACCAGGUUUGGGGACGCGCUCAGCCACCAUGGAACUUGAGUACCCCACUCAGCCUCCACCUCUUCAUCUGGGCAGUCCCAGCCCUUCCCAGCCCCUUGGGGACAGCAUCGAGGGCAGUGUCCCGGGGGGGGGGGGGGCUGGCCUUCCGUGUGCCCUGCUGCAGAGCCCACACUGAGCCUCUCGGGGCCUGAGCCUCCCUUGGCUCUGGAGAGCAGGUGGGAGCCAUGGUGGUGGUCUCGCCUCCGGGACACCAAGUGUGGAGCCGAAUAGAGCCCAGGGCCUCUGCACUGAGCAUAUCCCCAGCCCGCACACACAGCGAGCAGUAAACACCUGUGCCUGAACAAAUGACUGAGCAAAUG
This 680-nucleotide long non-coding RNA is filed under the name Heterocephalus glaber (naked mole-rat). Its description in RNAcentral is "lncRNA (ENSHGLG00100034742.1)". Lineage: Eukaryota; Metazoa; Chordata; Mammalia; Rodentia; Bathyergidae. The record is from RNAcentral.